AUGGAUUUUAAAACUAAAAGUUGCAUUAUUGACUAAACGGUGAUUCGCUUUCCCUUGAUGGAUUAGUAUUGAAAGAAAACGUAAAAAUUUUAAUCUAUAAAUUGUUUUCUCGUUUUCUACACAAAAUUAUUCAAAUGGAUUUUAAAUCGUUACACUGCACAAAAUUUAAUCAAACGUAUUUUUAACUUAAAAAGUUUCCCCUGACUUGAAAAUCGAUUUAUUCUUUGCAUAUUAAGGAGGAUUAUAAACAUUUUUCAUGGCGUAAAUUUCAGUUAAUACACCAUAGCACGAAGAGAGAUUCGAGGGCCAUGCAACGUUUCCUUCACAAUGAGCUGUUUUAUCAAUGGCCGCCAUUUAUAACAUAAAUCGCGCAAAACAUUCCCCUAAAUUGGCAAGAAAUGGUGAAGGAAUCUUCGCCGGUACUUAACCCAGAACACCUUCUCGGAUCCCUUUUCGGGGCAGAAAGAUUCGCAACGAUCCUGAUGAUGACUCUUCUUGCUCCAGAAUCUUGAUAAAGAAUUCUACUUUUCCUGAAAAAAAGACAUCUCUGGAAUCUCGAGAUUCAAUUCGAUCAAUUACGAUUUGUGUUGCGCGAAUGAUCAAUUCGAAAAUUGGAAAAAAGAAGUGAAUUUUGUAUGCAUCAGUUCUAGAGAUUAAAACAAAUACAAAAAUAUCAAAGUCUCAAUAGUCUGAUAUUUUUAUACAUUAAUUUUACACAUGUUAGAAUCGACUCUCUAAAUCCACAAACACUUUCAAAAGAAUUCUUUGAAAACCAAGAAUUACACAUUACAAAAUCUACUAAUCAACACAUUUCCUUUCACACAAUAACAAUAAAGAUUUAAAAAAAAAAAAA
Molecule: long non-coding RNA, 853 nt
Organism: Apis florea (little honeybee)
Lineage: Eukaryota; Metazoa; Arthropoda; Insecta; Hymenoptera; Apidae
Source: RefSeq, a predicted model, not a curated record